Molecule: ribosomal RNA, 246 nt
Filed under: uncultured bacterium
Lineage: Bacteria
Description: partial 16S ribosomal RNA
Rfam family: Bacterial small subunit ribosomal RNA
Source: RNAcentral
UGGGUAACCUGCCUCAAAGAGGGGAAUAGCCUCCCGAAAGGGAGAUUAAUACCGCAUAAUAUGUUUAGGUCGCAUGACUUUAACAUCAAAGGAUUUUCUUUUAAGAAAUUCCACUUUGAGGUGGACCCGCGGCGCAUUAGCUAGUUGGUGAGGUAACGCCCACAAGGCAACGAUGCGUAGCCGACCUGAGAGGGUNAUCGGCCACAUUGGAACUGAGACACGGUCCAGACUCCGUAGGGAGNAGCG